GUGGCUGAGCCUGUCGGCGACGCGCCUGCGUGAGCGCCGGGGCUGAGAAAGCGUUAAGCAGGCUGCGCCCGGAGAAGCCCUGAUUUGGGGUUGAAGGACGCGGGUUCGAUUCCCGCCACCUCCACCA
RNAcentral lists this transfer RNA (127 nucleotides) under Nonomuraea endophytica. RNAcentral describes it as "tRNA-OTHER". It matches the Rfam family "transfer-messenger RNA", at positions 236 to 374 of the family's 374-position model. Rfam says of the family: Bacterial tmRNA, also known as 10Sa RNA or SsrA, is named for its dual tRNA and mRNA-like properties. Its role is to liberate the mRNA from a stalled ribosome. To accomplish this part of the tmRNA is used as a reading frame that ends in a translation stop signal. Lineage: Bacteria; Bacillati; Actinomycetota; Actinomycetes; Streptosporangiales; Streptosporangiaceae. The record is from RNAcentral.